GACGAACGCUGGCGGCGUGCUUAACACAUGCAAGUCGUACGGUAAGGCCCUUUCGGGGGUACACGAGUGGCGAACGGGUGAGUAACACGUGAGUAACCUGCCCACAACUUUGGGAUAACGCUAGGAAACUGGUGCUAAUACUGGAUAUGUGCUCCUGCUGCAUGGUGGGGGUUGGAAAGCUCCGGCGGUUGUGGAUGGACUCGCUGCCUAUCAGCUUGUUGGUGGGGUAGUGGCCUACCAAGGCGGCGACGGGUAGCCGGCCUGAGAGGGUGACCGGCCACAUUGGGACUGAGAUACGGCCCAGACUCCUACGGGAGGCAGCAGGGGGGAAUAUUGCACAAUGGGCGCAAGCCUGAUGCAGCAACGCCGCGUGCGGGAUGACGGCCUUCGGGUUGUAAACCGCUUUCAGCAGGGACGAAGCUUUUUGUGACGGUACCUGCAGAAGAAGCACCGGCUAACUACGUG
Molecule: ribosomal RNA, 465 nt
Filed under: uncultured bacterium
Lineage: Bacteria
Description: partial 16S ribosomal RNA
Rfam family: Bacterial small subunit ribosomal RNA
Source: RNAcentral